ACAUUUUACACGCCUACUGUAAAUUGUACCGCACAAAUACUGACAGGAACAUUUUUACAAGCCUACUGUGAAUUGUACCGCGCUGUUUUGCUGAGAACAUAUUACACAUCAUCACAAACUUUGUGAAUCAUGUGUCUGACUAUGAAGACGGUGGCUGACGAGAAGAAGAGAGGGAGAGAGAAGGGGAGGAAGAAGGAGGGACAGAGAGUGGCAGGUGGUUGGCGUGCCAAGUUAAUGAACUGCUUUCUAUGUGGAGCAGCCAACCAAGAUCAGGAUGAACAAAUAGAGAAAGAACAAGUAAAGACUGGGCAGAAACCAGAAGAGAAGCAGAGCCAGACAGAGAGAGGACAAAGACAAGGGAUUGCCCCUCCACGGGCAGCGAUGAUGGCUGAGAGAAAACGGGAGCUGGAGAAAAUGCAUGAGGACAUGAAGAAAUGGGAGAUGUACGGGGUGCGCAAGAAUGUCACUCGGAGAAGCAGGAAGGUGACGGAACAGGAGAUAUUAAAAAUGGACGAGGACAUGAGGAGAUGGGAGGUGCACUGGCAGCAGACUAAGAGAAGCAGGAAGGUGGCGGAGGCCAACCAGGAGUGGAGCCAAAUGGCUCUAAAGUCAGAGGACGCCGGGAAGAAAAUUACGUUCCGUGAAGAUCUCUGUGAGGUGCGAUUCAUUGAUGAGGAGGCAAAGCCGAGCCAGGGAGAUCAGAAAGUACUGGGGGAGGGAGGACAGCAAGAACAGGACAUUGAGAAGCAUGUUGAGAGGAAGUUGACAAAGCAGGAGGAGUAUGAAAUGUACUUCCAGCAGGUGUUGAAAAUGCUCAAGGAUGAAAAAGAAAUGAAGAAGAAAGAAGCCAUAACAGAGAAAUGUAUACAAAAGGAGGAGCAGUUGCAAGGGCGAGGGGAAGGGCAGAUUGCUCUCAAGAGGCAGGAGGCUGCUGUUAUCUGUCCUGAUAUCGGUAGUGCUCUGCUGUUCGUCAUGAUUUGCAUGACCUUCUGUGCGUUUGACUUUUUCCGAUAAAUCAACCCUCUGAAGUAAUGAGG
Clupea harengus (Atlantic herring) is the source of this 1037-nucleotide long non-coding RNA. NCBI's taxonomy places the organism in Eukaryota, Metazoa, Chordata, Actinopteri, Clupeiformes, Clupeidae. The record is from Ensembl.